GACUAGUCGAGCGAACAGAAGGGAGCUUGCUCCCGGAUGUUAGCGGCGGACGGGUGAGUAACACGUGGGUAACCUGCCUGUAAGACUGGGAUAACUCCGGGAAACCGGAGCUAAUACCGGAUAGUUCCUUGAACCGCAUGGUUCAAGGAUGAAAGACGGUUUCGGCUGUCACUUACAGAUGGACCCGCGGCGCAUUAGCUAGUUGGUGGGGUAAUGGCUCACCAAGGCGACGAUGCGUAGCCGACCUGAGAGGGUGAUCGGCCACACUGGGACUGAGACACGGCCCAGACUCCUACGGGAGGCAGCAGUAGGGAAUCUUCCGCAAUGGACGAAAGUCUGACGGAGCAACGCCGCGUGAGUGAUGAAGGUUUUCGGAUCGUAAAGCUCUGUUGUUAGGGAAGAACAAGUGCGAGAGUAACUGCUCGCACCUUGACGGUACCUAACCAGAAAGCCACGGCUAACUACGUGCCAGCAGCCGCGGUAAUACGUAGGUGGCAAGCGUUGUCCGGAAUUAUUGGGCGUAAAGGGCUCGCAGGCGGUUUCUUAAGUCUGAUGUGAAAGCCCCCGGCUCAACCGGGGACGGUCAUUGGAAACUGGGAAACUUGAGUGCAAAAAAGGAGAGUGGAAUUCCCCGUGUAGCGGUGAAAUGCGUAUAGAUGUGGAGGAACACCAGUGGCGAAUAGCGACUCUCUGGUCUGCUA
This 701-nucleotide ribosomal RNA is filed under the name Bacillus sp. (in: firmicutes). RNAcentral's name for it is "bacterial SSU rRNA". It matches the Rfam family "Bacterial small subunit ribosomal RNA", at positions 57 to 739 of the family's 1533-position model. Lineage: Bacteria; Bacillati; Bacillota; Bacilli; Caryophanales; Bacillaceae. The record is from RNAcentral.